This 252-nucleotide ribosomal RNA is filed under the name uncultured prokaryote. RNAcentral's name for it is "partial 16S ribosomal RNA". It matches the Rfam family "Bacterial small subunit ribosomal RNA", at positions 523 to 774 of the family's 1533-position model. The record is from RNAcentral.
AUACGAAGGGGGCUAGCGUUGCUCGGAAUCACUGGGCGUAAAGCGCACGUAGGCGGCUUCUUAAGUCAGGGGUGAAAUCCUGGAGCUCAACUCCAGAACUGCCUUUGAUACUGGGAAGCUUGAGUUCGGGAGAGGUGAGUGGAACUGCGAGUGUAGAGGUGAAAUUCGUAGAUAUUCGCAAGAACACCAGUGGCGAAGGCGGCUCACUGGCCCGAUACUGACGCUGAGGUGCGAAAGCGUGGGGAGCAAACA